This 74-nucleotide transfer RNA is filed under the name Candidatus Nitrosopumilus sp. Its description in RNAcentral is "tRNA-Thr". It matches the Rfam family "tRNA". From Rfam's summary of the family: Transfer RNA (tRNA) molecules are approximately 80 nucleotides in length. Their secondary structure includes four short double-helical elements and three loops (D, anti-codon, and T loops). Further hydrogen bonds mediate the characteristic L-shaped molecular structure. tRNAs have two regions of fundamental functional importance: the anti-codon, which is responsible for specific mRNA codon recognition, and the 3' end, to which the tRNAs corresponding amino acid is attached (by aminoacyl-tRNA synthetases). tRNAs cope with the degeneracy of the genetic code in two manners: having more than one tRNA (with a specific anti-codon) for a particular amino acid; and 'wobble' base-pairing, i.e. permitting non-standard base-pairing at the 3rd anti-codon position. The record is from RNAcentral. Lineage: Archaea; Thermoproteati; Nitrososphaerota; Nitrososphaeria; Nitrosopumilales; Nitrosopumilaceae.
GCCUUGGUAGCUCAGCCUGGUAGAGCGAACGCCUCGUAAGCGUUAGGUCGUGGGGUCGUACCCCAUCCAGGGCU